AACCCUAGCCACCCCUCCCCCUAAUCCCCUUUGGAUUUGCAGCCACCCCCUCCCCUCUCCCUUGUGCAGCCGCCCCCCUCUCUAGCCCUUGGCUGCCCCCCCUUCUCCCAUCUUCUCCUUCCUCAAACACUUGCAGCCACCACCUCACAACCCUAGCCCCCCCAUCCCCUCCUCUCCUAGGUGCAGCCCUCCCACUUGAUCUAUGUCGCGUUGGUGCAAAUCUCCAAUUGGAAUUUGGUGGAAGGAAGAAGGAGGGAGGAAAGAGGGAGAAUUCAAGGCACUUGAUCCUUACUUUUGGGAAAGGAGGGAAGUAGCAGCACGACCACUACACAUUUAAAUAAAUGUACCACUGCUUAGUAAUAAUGUUAAACAGAGAUUUAAGUCUAGGGGAUUAAUAUGUUCUAGUCUUCAUGAUAGUCGAAUUUGCUUUUGGGUUGGCUGGAUUCCCUCUCUUUUUAUUUGGUCAUGAAUAUGCAUUAAUAUCUCUGCGUUCUAUUUAUACUACGUGAAUUAUCUUUCUUUUACAUUAUGUAUAAACUUUAUGUCCCUCUCGUUAUGCUACUUUCGGGGGAGGUGCUGCCAGAUUUUGCUUUACUUUUUGUCUCUA
This is a long non-coding RNA of Zea mays, 607 nucleotides long. RefSeq lists it as uncharacterized. The transcript has 2 exons. NCBI's taxonomy places the organism in Eukaryota, Viridiplantae, Streptophyta, Magnoliopsida, Poales, Poaceae. The record is from RefSeq and is a predicted model, not a curated record.